Molecule: ribosomal RNA, 253 nt
Filed under: uncultured bacterium
Lineage: Bacteria
Description: partial 16S ribosomal RNA
Rfam family: Bacterial small subunit ribosomal RNA
Source: RNAcentral
UACGGGGGGGGCAAGCGUUGUUCGGAAUUACUGGGCGUAAAGGGCUCGUAGGUGGCCAACUAAGUCAGACGUGAAAUCCCUCGGCUUAACCGAGGAACUGCGUCUGAUACUGGAUGGCUUGAGUUUGGGAGAGGGAUGCGGAAUUCCAGGUGUAGCGGUGAAAUGCGUAGAUAUCUGGAGGAACACCGGUGGCGAAGGCGCUGCUCUGGGCCGAUACUGACGCUGAGGAGCGAAAGCGUGGGUAGCAAACAGG